Molecule: long non-coding RNA, 731 nt
Filed under: Equus caballus (horse)
Lineage: Eukaryota; Metazoa; Chordata; Mammalia; Perissodactyla; Equidae
Description: lncRNA (ENSECAG00000045057.1)
Source: RNAcentral
GGGCACUGGAGGCCUCAGAACUCAGAUUCCUAUCCCUCCGUGCUGGGGGCUGACCACAGCCUCCCCCGUCACCCAAGCCAUGGAGCUGACCUUCCAUGUGGGGCCACUCCCUGUGCUCAGCACCACUCUGCUCCUACUUUGUGCCAGAAGCUAGAGGCAGAAACCCUCAUCGGGCCAGACUGUGGUCAAAGGGAGCCCAGACUGGCGGUAACACUGGCCAUGGUAGGGUAGCCUUAAGCUUCUGGGGGACCCCAUCCUGGAGCCACCCAUGUUUAACAGGUUUGACUCCAUAUAUAAACAGAGUGCCAAGAAAUUGUUCAGAAGAGGCAUUCAGUAGUUCACAGCAUCUUAGUCUGCGUGGUAACAGGAACAGGGGGCGCUGCCUCCAUUUCACCCUUACGAGGUUCACAGAUUUGGGAGACCUGCCAAAGGUCACCCUGGGGAAGGUCCAUUCCGUGAGGUUCCACACUGGUGAGAUGUGUCCUUGAUCCCAGGGUUGGGCAGAGGAAAAAGGGCUCCGCAGAAUCCUGAAGCAUUGACGGGUCAGCCGGGCCCCUGGGAAGGGCUUCCUUCUUCAGCACAUGACUCCCCUCUGGUGGCCAGUAGCUGCAAUUGUCAGUUGCGGCGCUGGAGAGGAACAAAAAUUAUGACCUCUUCUUCCUGGGUGUCUGCCGUGUUCCGGACGCUCACACAUAUCUGGUCUAAUCCUCACAACCACUCUGUGAGCGGGG